Molecule: ribosomal RNA, 827 nt
Filed under: uncultured Gammaproteobacteria bacterium
Lineage: Bacteria; Pseudomonadati; Pseudomonadota; Gammaproteobacteria
Description: bacterial SSU rRNA
Rfam family: Bacterial small subunit ribosomal RNA
Source: RNAcentral
AGUCGAGCGGUACAGAAAGUAGCUUGCUACUUUGCUGACGAGCGGCGCACGGGUGAGUAAUGCUUGGGAACAUGCCUUGAGGUGGGGGACAACAGUUGGAAACGACUGCUAAUACCGCAUAAUGUCUACGGACCAAAGGGGGCUUCGGCUCUCGCCUUUAGAUUGGCCCAAGUGGGAUUAGCUAGUUGGUGAGGUAAUGGCUCACCAAGGCAACGAUCCCUAGCUGGUUUGAGAGGAUGAUCAGCCACACUGGAACUGAGACACGGUCCAGACUCCUACGGGAGGCAGCAGUGGGGAAUAUUGCACAAUGGGCGAAAGCCUGAUGCAGCCAUGCCGCGUGUGUGAAGAAGGCCUUCGGGUUGUAAAGCACUUUCAGUCAGGAGGAAAGGGUGUGAGUUAAUACCUCAUAUCUGUGACGUUACUGACAGAAGAAGCACCGGCUAACUCCGUGCCAGCAGCCGCGGUAAUACGGAGGGUGCGAGCGUUAAUCGGAAUUACUGGGCGUAAAGCGUACGCGGGCGGUUUGUUAAGCGAGAUGUGAAAGCCCCGGGCUCAACCUGGGAACUGCAUUUCGAACUGGCAAACUAGAGAGUGAUAGAGGGUGGUAGAAUUUCAGGUGUAGCGGUGAAAUGCGUAGAGAUCUGAAGGAAUACCGAUGGCGAAGGCAGCCACCUGGGUCAACACUGACGCUCAUGUACGAAAGCGUGGGGAGCAAACGGGAUUAGAUACCCCGGUAGUCCACGCCGUAAACGAUGUCUACUAAAAGCUCGGAACCUCGGUUCUGUUUUUCAAAGCUAACGCAUUAAGUAGACCGCCUGGGGAGUACG